RNAcentral lists this non-coding RNA (23 nucleotides) under Arabidopsis thaliana (thale cress). Lineage: Eukaryota; Viridiplantae; Streptophyta; Magnoliopsida; Brassicales; Brassicaceae. The record is from RNAcentral.
GGAGAUAUUCGCGGAGCGGACCU